RNAcentral lists this ribosomal RNA (296 nucleotides) under uncultured microorganism. Its description in RNAcentral is "partial 16S ribosomal RNA". It matches the Rfam family "Archaeal small subunit ribosomal RNA", at positions 330 to 628 of the family's 1478-position model. The record is from RNAcentral.
GCGCAGCAGGCGAGAAACCUCCGCAAUACACGAAAGUGUGACGGGCCAUCCCGAGUGCCGUCCGCUGAGGACGGCUUUUCCCCAGUGUACAUAGCUGGGGGAAUAAGGAGAGGGCAAGCCUGGUGUCAGCCGCCGCGGUAAUACCAGCUCUCCGAGUGGUGGGGACGCUUAUUGGGCCUAAAGCAUCCGUAGCCGGCUGGGCAAGGUCCUCCGUCAAAUCCAACGAUUCAAUCGUUGGGCUGCGGGGGAUACUGUCCAGCUUGGGGGCGGGAGAGGCCGACGGUAUUCCCGAGGUA